AUUAAAUUUUUAUAGUUUAAAUAAUUUAUUUAAAAUUUAUUUUACAUAUAAAUUUUAGUAAAAAAUAUUUAUUUAUUUUAAUAAUAAAAUAUUAAAAUUAAAGUAGUAAUUAAUAUUAAAAAUUUAAGAAAUUAAGAUUUAGUAAUAUAAAAAUUAAAAACUAAUUUUGUGCCAGCAGUUGCGGUUAAACAAAAUUUAAAAUGAAUUUUUUUAGUAAUUAAUUAAUAAUAAAUUAAUUUAAUUUAAAUUUUAAAUUAUUAAGUGAAAUUUUAAUUUAAUAAAAAAUUAUAAUUUUAUUUAUGAAAUUAAUAGAUUUUAUAAAAAACUAGGAUUAGAUACCCUAUUAUUAAAAAUUUAAAAUUAAAAUACUAAAAUAGUAAUUAAUUUUUUAUUGAAACUUAAAUAAAUUGGCGGUAUUUUAGUUCAUUUAGAGGAAUCUGUUUAAUAAUUGAUAAUCCACGAAUAAAUUUACUUAAUUUAAUAGUUUAUAUAUCGUUGUUGAAAAAAUAUUUUAAUAUAAUAAAUAAUAUUUAAAAAUUUAAAUUUAAAAUUAAAUCAGAUCAAGAUGUAGUUAAUAAUUAAGAAUAUAAUGGGUUACAAUAAAAUUAUUUAAAUGAAUUUAAAUUUGUAAUAAUUUAUUGAAAGUGGAUUUAAAAGUAAUUUUAUUUAGUUUUUUAAAAUGAUUAAAAAUUAAAAUAUGUACAUAUUGCCCGUCACUUUCAUAUAUAAGUUGGAAUAAGUCGUAACAAAGUAGAAGUACUGGAAAGUGUUUCUAGAAAGAU
Molecule: non-coding RNA, 782 nt
Filed under: Kunugia undans
Lineage: Eukaryota; Metazoa; Arthropoda; Insecta; Lepidoptera; Lasiocampidae
Source: RNAcentral